Molecule: long non-coding RNA, 353 nt
Filed under: Elaeis guineensis (African oil palm)
Lineage: Eukaryota; Viridiplantae; Streptophyta; Magnoliopsida; Arecales; Arecaceae
Description: long non-coding RNA (EGUI_LNC082783)
Source: RNAcentral
AAUACAAUCCAUCCGAAUCCGUUACAAAUUGUUCAUUUUGGUUUCAAACGAUUUAUACGUGAUAAAACGGUCGGCAGCAGAUUGAAUUUUUUUCAAUCUAAUUAGGUUUGGUCAGAUGAAAUUUUUCUCUCAAUCCGACCGAAUCCGACUUGCGCUCAGUCUUAGGGCUUACUGUUGUAGGGCUUUAUGAGUAUGAACUGUAGCAGAGUUUGAGUGUCUUUAAUUUCCAACACAUGACACCAUUAUGGCACAACGAAGUCUACGUAGGAUAAUGAGAAUUUGUAUUUUGACGGUCCUCCAUGAGAACUACCUUGCAAAGCAAACUGGAGUAAUCUUAAGCACAAACAUUGUGG